This 1444-nucleotide ribosomal RNA is filed under the name uncultured organism. RNAcentral's name for it is "16S ribosomal RNA". It matches the Rfam family "Bacterial small subunit ribosomal RNA". The record is from RNAcentral.
CAGGCUUAACACAUGCAAGUCGAGGGGCAUCAGGAAGAAAGCUUGCUUUCUUUGCUGGCGACCGGCGCACGGGUGAGUAACACGUAUCCAACCUGCCCUUUACUCGGGGAUAGCCUUUCGAAAGAAAGAUUAAUACCCGAUGGCAUAAUGAUUCCGCAUGGUUUCGUUAUUAAAGGAUUCCGGUAAAGGAUGGGGAUGCGUUCCAUUAGGUUGUUGGUGAGGUAACGGCUCACCAAGCCUUCGAUGGAUAGGGGUUCUGAGAGGAAGGUCCCCCACAUUGGAACUGAGACACGGUCCAAACUCCUACGGGAGGCAGCAGUGAGGAAUAUUGGUCAAUGGGCGCUAGCCUGAACCAGCCAAGUAGCGUGAAGGAUGAAGGCUCUAUGGGUCGUAAACUUCUUUUAUAUAAGAAUAAAGUGCAGUAUGUAUACUGUUUUGUAUGUAUUAUAUGAAUAAGGAUCGGCUAACUCCGUGCCAGCAGCCGCGGUAAUACGGAGGAUCCGAGCGUUAUCCGGAUUUAUUGGGUUUAAAGGGAGCGUAGGUGGACUGGUAAGUCAGUUGUGAAAGUUUGCGGCUCAACCGUAAAAUUGCAGUUGAUACUGUCAGUCUUGAGUACAGUAGAAGUGGGCGGAAUUCGUGGUGUAGCGGUGAAAUGCUUAGAUAUCACGAAGAACUCCGAUUGCGAAGGCAGCUCACUGGACUGCAACUGACACUGAUGCUCGAAAGUGUGGGUAUCAAACAGGAUUAGAUACCCUGGUAGUCCACACAGUAAACGAUGAAUACUCGCUGUUUGCGAUAUACAGUAAGCGGCCAAGCGAAAGCAUUAAGUAUUCCACCUGGGGAGUACGCCGGCAACGGUGAAACUCAAAGGAAUUGACGGGGGCCCGCACAAGCGGAGGAACAUGUGGUUUAAUUCGAUGAUACGCGAGGAACCUUACCCGGGCUUAAAUUGCAGUGGAAUGAUGUGGAAACAUGUCAGUGAGCAAUCACCGCUGUGAAGGUGCUGCAUGGUUGUCGUCAGCUCGUGCCGUGAGGUGCCGGCUUAAGUGCCAUAACGAGCGCAACCCUUAUCUUUAGUUACUAACAGGUUAUGCUGAGGACUCUAGAGAGACUGCCGUCGUAAGAUGUGAGGAAGGUGGGGAUGACGUCAAAUCAGCACGGCCCUUACGUCCGGGGCUACACACGUGUUACAAUGGGGGGUACAGAAGGCAGCUAGCGGGUGACCGUAUGCUAAUCCCAAAAGCCUCUCUCAGUUCGGAUCGAAGUCUGCAACCCGACUUCGUGAAGCUGGAUUCGCUAGUAAUCGCGCAUCAGCCACGGCGCGGUGAAUACGUUCCCGGGCCUUGUACACACCGCCCGUCAAGCCAUGGGAGCCGGGGGUACCUGAAGUACGUAACCGCAAGGAUCGUCCUAGGGUAAAACUGGUGACUGGGGCUAAGUCGUA